UGAAAGGAAGUGGCGGGCUCGCUACAACUCCGAGCGUAGUAACUCACUGUCUCGCUAGGGAGGUUGCGGCGCGCUCCUGCCGUUAAAGACCACAUCUUUAACCAAGGUUGACCUCGGAUCAGGUAGGAAUACCCGCUGAACUUAAGCAUAUCAAUAAGCGGAGGAAAAGAAACCAACAGGGAUUGCCCUAGUAACGGCGAGUGAAGCGGCAACAGCUCAAAUUUGAAAUCUGGCUUCGGCCCGAGUUGUAAUUUGUAGAGGAUGCUUUUGGCGAGGUGCCUUCUGAGUUCCCUGGAACGGGACGCCAGAGAGGGUGAGAGCCCCGUAUAGUCGGACACCUAGCCUCUGUAAAGCUCCUUCGACGAGUCGAGUAGUUUGGGAAUGCUGCUCAAAAUGGGAGGUAUAUCUCUUCUAAAGCUAAAUAUAGGCCAGAGACCGAUAGCGCACAAGUAGAGUGAUCGAAAGAUGAAAAGCACUUUGAAAAGAGGGUUAAAUAGCACGUGAAAUUGUUGAAAGGGAAGCGCUUGUGACCAGACUUGUGCCGGGCUGAUCAUCCAGUGUUCUCACUGGUGCACUCGACCCGGCUCAGGCCAGCGUCGGUUCUCGCGGGGGGAUAAAAGCUCCGGGAACGUGGCUCCUCCGGGAGUGUUAUAGCCCGUUGUUUAAUACCCUCG
RNAcentral lists this ribosomal RNA (674 nucleotides) under Sordariomycetes sp. RNAcentral's name for it is "eukaryotic LSU rRNA". The stretch from base 109 to 674 matches the Rfam family "Eukaryotic large subunit ribosomal RNA", at positions 1 to 579 of the family's 3401-position model. Lineage: Eukaryota; Fungi; Ascomycota; Sordariomycetes. The record is from RNAcentral.